AGAGUUUGAUCAUGGCUCAGAUUGAACGCUGGCGGCAGGCCUAACACAUGCAAGUCGAACGGUAACAGAAAGCAGCUUGCUGCUUUGCUGACGAGUGGCGGACGGGUGAGUAAUGUCUGGGAAACUGCCUGAUGGAGGGGGAUAACUACUGGAAACGGUAGCUAAUACCGCAUAAUGUCGCAAGACCAAAGAGGGGGACCUUCGGGCCUCUUGCCAUCGGAUGUGCCCAGAUGGGAUUAGCUAGUAGGUGGGGUAACGGCUCACCUAGGCGACGAUCCCUAGCUGGUCUGAGAGGAUGACCAGCCACACUGGAACUGAGACACGGUCCAGACUCCUACGGGAGGCAGCAGUGGGGAAUAUUGCACAAUGGGCGCAAGCCUGAUGCAGCCAUGCCGCGUGUAUGAAGAAGGCCUUCGGGUUGUAAAGUACUUUCAGCGGGGAGGAAGGGAGUAAAGUUAAUACCUUUACUCAUUGACGUUACCCGCAGAAGA
RNAcentral lists this ribosomal RNA (491 nucleotides) under Escherichia coli. RNAcentral's name for it is "bacterial SSU rRNA". It matches the Rfam family "Bacterial small subunit ribosomal RNA", at positions 8 to 488 of the family's 1533-position model. Lineage: Bacteria; Pseudomonadati; Pseudomonadota; Gammaproteobacteria; Enterobacterales; Enterobacteriaceae. The record is from RNAcentral.